AGUGAACGCUGGCGGUAGGCCUAACACAUGCAAGUCGAACGGCAGCACAGUAAGAGCUUGCUCUUACGGGUGGCGAGUGGCGGACGGGUGAGGAAUACAUCGGAAUCUACUUUUUCGUGGGGGAUAACGUAGGGAAACUUACGCUAAUACCGCAUACGACCUACGGGUGAAAGCAGGGGAUCUUCGGACCUUGCGCGAUUGAAUGAGCCGAUGUCGGAUUAGCUAGUUGGCGGGGUAAAGGCCCACCAAGGCGACGAUCCGUAGCUGGUCUGAGGGGAUAGACAGCCACACUGGCACUGAGACAGGGUCCAGACACCGACGCGAGGCAGCGGUCGGGAAUAUUGGAGAAUGGGGGAAAGCCUGAUCCAGGCAUAUCGGGGAGAUGAUGAAGGACUUAUGGUGGGAAAGCCCUUUUGUUGGGAAAGAAAAGCAGCAGUUUAAUACCCCGCUGUUCUGACGGUACCCAAAGAAUAAGCACCGGCUAACUUCGUG
RNAcentral lists this ribosomal RNA (492 nucleotides) under uncultured bacterium. Its description in RNAcentral is "partial 16S ribosomal RNA". It matches the Rfam family "Bacterial small subunit ribosomal RNA", at positions 29 to 507 of the family's 1533-position model. The record is from RNAcentral.